This 254-nucleotide ribosomal RNA is filed under the name uncultured bacterium. RNAcentral's name for it is "partial 16S ribosomal RNA". It matches the Rfam family "Bacterial small subunit ribosomal RNA", at positions 524 to 776 of the family's 1533-position model. The record is from RNAcentral.
UACGUAGGCAGCAAGCGUUGUUCGGAGUUACUGGGCGUACAGGGUGUGUAGGCGGUUGUUUAAGGUUGGUGUGAAAUCUCCCGGCUCAACUGGGAGGGUGCGCCGAAUACUGAAUGACUUCGAGUACGGGAGAGGAAAGUGGAAUUCCUGGUGUAGCGGUGAAAUGCGUAGAUAUCAGGAGGAACACCGGUGGUGUAGACGGCUUUCUGGACCGUAACUGACGCUGAGACACGAAAGCGUGGGUAGCAAACAGG